GUCUGCUAAAAGUGUUCUAUUGGUCUGAAGACAGGCCUCUAACAGUCUGCUAACAGUCUGCUAACAGCCUCUAACAGUCUGCUAACAGUCUGCUAACAGCCUGCUAACAGUGUUCUAUUGGUCUGAAGACAGGCCUCUAACAGUCUGCUAACAGUCUGCUAACAUCUGCUAACAGUCUGCUAACAGUCUGCUAACAGCCUGCUAACAUCUGCUAACAGUCUGCUAACAGCCUGCUAACAGUGUUCUAUUGGCCUGAAAACAGGCCUCCAACAGUCUGC
Molecule: long non-coding RNA, 278 nt
Organism: Melanotaenia boesemani (Boeseman's rainbowfish)
Lineage: Eukaryota; Metazoa; Chordata; Actinopteri; Atheriniformes; Melanotaeniidae
Exons: 4
Source: RefSeq, a predicted model, not a curated record